CUUAAGUUGUCCUAGAAGUUGGUUGAUUGUUGAUUUUAUGGUAGCCUAAUAUAAUGUGGAUGUUCUGGUUUCUGACCUGCUGCCUAGCAGCACGGCAGAAGAGGGAUGAUGGUUCAGCUGCCAUUAAGAAAAAGGUUAAGAAAUACAAACUGUGGGAGUUGAAUCUAGAAUUGUUCAAUUUGGGUGUCCACCUUGAUGAGGACAGUUACAGGAAUGAAAUGAAAAACAAAAAGAAGAUCAAGCAGGCACUCCAGAAGCGUCUCAUUAGUGAGCUGCUGAAGAUACAUGUGGACAGAGCCAACAAGAGGGCUAAAGAACUCCACAUGAGUAACCCAGAUGUUAUGACCCAGAAUGUGUUGAAUUAUGGGAAUACUUCACAACAGAGCGAACUGGAACAGACAGAGAGCCAUAACAAGAAAAUGGAAGGUGAUGUUCUUAGUAUUCUUCACAACCUUAUGGACAAAGUUGAGAAAAACAUUGACAGGUGCUGAUGGAAAUCCCAUUAUCCUGGACGAAGUGGAGAGCACUAUGACUCUGAAUCUGAUUUCUGCUGAGGGCUUGAAUAAUGAAACUAUGGACAAAAUGGCAAAGGACGAUGUAAACAGCACCAGAGUGAAACACGACACAGGGGAAGGUGACAACUUCAGCAUGGUGUGAAAAAAAUGUGAAAAAGUGUUGGAGUUGGACUGGAGACAUGUAAUGAAGGAGGACAGGAAAUCCCUUUUUGGUGCUGUUCUGACAAAAGCCUGGUUCUUCUGUUGUUCCUGCUAACCCCCCCCCUUCUGACAAAAGCUCUUCA
Molecule: long non-coding RNA, 799 nt
Organism: Alosa alosa (allis shad)
Lineage: Eukaryota; Metazoa; Chordata; Actinopteri; Clupeiformes; Clupeidae
Exons: 3
Source: RefSeq, a predicted model, not a curated record